RNAcentral lists this transfer RNA (73 nucleotides) under Marmota monax (woodchuck). RNAcentral's name for it is "tRNA.Ala". Lineage: Eukaryota; Metazoa; Chordata; Mammalia; Rodentia; Sciuridae. The record is from RNAcentral.
UGAGGAUGUAGCUCAGUGGUAGAACACUUGCCUAGCAUGUGCAAGAAGCUGGGUUUGAUCCCCAGUACCACAA